RNAcentral lists this ribosomal RNA (460 nucleotides) under uncultured bacterium. RNAcentral's name for it is "partial 16S ribosomal RNA". It matches the Rfam family "Bacterial small subunit ribosomal RNA", at positions 28 to 523 of the family's 1533-position model. The record is from RNAcentral.
GAUGAAUGCUGGCGGCGUGCUUAACACAUGCAAGUCGAGCGGUAAGGCCCUUUUCGGGUACACGAGCGGCGGACGGCUGAGUAACUCGUGGGAACAUUCCCUAAAGAGAGGAAUAAGCUCCAGAAAUGGAGUCUAAUGCCGCAUAUGAUCUUCGGAGUAUAGGAUUUAUCCGCUUUAGGAGUGGCCUGCGUACGAUUAGCUUGUUGGUGAGGUAAUGGCUUACCAAGGCGACGAUCGUUAGCUGGUCUGAGAUGAUGACCAGCCAGACUGGAACUGAGACACGGUCCAGACUCCUACGGGAGGCAGCAGUGAGGAAUCUUCCACAAUGGGCGAAAGCCUGAUGGAGCAACGCCGCGUGCAGGAUGAAGGCCCUCGGGUCGUAAACUGCUUUUAUGAGUGAAGAAUAUGACGGUAACUCAUGAAUAAGCACCGGCUAACUACGUGCCAGCCGCCGCCGUAA